AGCGAACGCUGGCGGCAGGCCUAACACAUGCAAGUCGAACGAACUCUUCGGAGUUAGUGGCGGACGGGUGAGUAACACGUGGGAACGUGCCUUUAGGUCGGAAUAACUCAGGGAAACGUUGUGCUAAUACCGAAUGUGCCCUUCGGGGAAGGAUUAUCGCCUUUAGAGCGGCCCGCGUCUGAUUAGCUAGUUGGUGAGGUAAAGGCUCACCAAGGCGACGAUCAGUAGCUGGUCUGAGAGAAUGAUCAGCCACAUUGGGACUGAGACACGGCCCAAACUCCUACGGGGAGGCAGCAGUGGGGAAUCUUGCGCAAUGGGCGAAAGCCUGACGCAGCCAUGCCGCGUGAAUGAUGAAGGUCUUAGGAUUGUAAAAUUCUUUCACCGGGGACGAUAAUGACGGUACCCGGAGAAGAAGCCCCGGCUAACUUCGUGCCAG
This 436-nucleotide ribosomal RNA is filed under the name uncultured bacterium. RNAcentral describes it as "bacterial SSU rRNA". It matches the Rfam family "Bacterial small subunit ribosomal RNA", at positions 29 to 511 of the family's 1533-position model. The record is from RNAcentral.